This 1289-nucleotide ribosomal RNA is filed under the name Vibrio sp. RNAcentral's name for it is "bacterial SSU rRNA". It matches the Rfam family "Bacterial small subunit ribosomal RNA", at positions 207 to 1485 of the family's 1533-position model. The record is from RNAcentral. Lineage: Bacteria; Pseudomonadati; Pseudomonadota; Gammaproteobacteria; Vibrionales; Vibrionaceae.
CGGGCCUCUCGCGUCAGGAUAUGCCUAGGUGGGAUUAGCUAGUUGGUGAGGUAAGGGCUCACCAAGGCGACGAUCCCUAGCUGGUCUGAGAGGAUGAUCAGCCACACUGGAACUGAGACACGGUCCAGACUCCUACGGGAGGCAGCAGUGGGGAAUAUUGCACAAUGGGCGCAAGCCUGAUGCAGCCAUGCCGCGUGUGUGAAGAAGGCCUUCGGGUUGUAAAGCACUUUCAGUCGUGAGGAAGGUAGUGUAGUUAAUAGCUGCAUUAUUUGACGUUAGCGACAGAAGAAGCACCGGCUAACUCCGUGCCAGCAGCCGCGGUAAUACGGAGGGUGCGAGCGUUAAUCGGAAUUACUGGGCGUAAAGCGCAUGCAGGUGGUUUGUUAAGUCAGAUGUGAAAGCCCGGGGCUCAACCUCGGAAUUGCAUUUGAAACUGGCAGACUAGAGUACUGUAGAGGGGGGUAGAAUUUCAGGUGUAGCGGUGAAAUGCGUAGAGAUCUGAAGGAAUACCGGUGGCGAAGGCGGCCCCCUGGACAGAUACUGACACUCAGAUGCGAAAGCGUGGGGAGCAAACAGGAUUAGAUACCCUGGUAGUCCACGCCGUAAACGAUGUCUACUUGGAGGUUGUGGCCUUGAGCCGUGGCUUUCGGAGCUAACGCGUUAAGUAGACCGCCUGGGGAGUACGGUCGCAAGAUUAAAACUCAAAUGAAUUGACGGGGGCCCGCACAAGCGGUGGAGCAUGUGGUUUAAUUCGAUGCAACGCGAAGAACCUUACCUACUCUUGACAUCCAGAGAACUUUCCAGAGAUGGAUUGGUGCCUUCGGGAACUCUGAGACAGGUGCUGCAUGGCUGUCGUCAGCUCGUGUUGUGAAAUGUUGGGUUAAGUCCCGCAACGAGCGCAACCCUUAUCCUUGUUUGCCAGCGAGUAAUGUCGGGAACUCCAGGGAGACUGCCGGUGAUAAACCGGAGGAAGGUGGGGACGACGUCAAGUCAUCAUGGCCCUUACGAGUAGGGCUACACACGUGCUACAAUGGCGCAUACAGAGGGCGGCCAACUUGCGAAAGUGAGCGAAUCCCAAAAAGUGCGUCGUAGUCCGGAUUGGAGUCUGCAACUCGACUCCAUGAAGUCGGAAUCGCUAGUAAUCGUGGAUCAGAAUGCCACGGUGAAUACGUUCCCGGGCCUUGUACACACCGCCCGUCACACCAUGGGGAGUGGGCUGCAAAAGAAGUAGGUAGUUUAACCUUCGGGGGGGACGCUUACCACUUUUGUGGUUCAUGACUGGGGUGAUC